GAUGAACGCUGGCGGCGUGCCUAAUACAUGCAGGUCGAGCGAACAAACGAGGAGCUUGCUCCUCUGACGUUAGCGGCGGACGGGUGAGUAACACGUGGAUAACCUACCUCUAAGACUGGGAUAACUUCGGGAAACCGGAGCUAAUACCGGAUACUAUAUUGAACCGCAUGGUUCCCUAGUGAAAGACGGUUUUGCUGUCACUUAUCGAUGGAUCCGCGCCGCAUUUGCUAGUUGGUAAGGUAACGGGCUACCCAGGCAACGAUGCGUAGCCGACCUGAGAGAGGGAUCGGCCACAUGAGAAGGGAGACAGGGUCCAGACUACUAAGAGAGGGAGCAGAAGGGAAUCGGCCGCAAUGGGCGAAAACUUUACGGAGUAACGCCGAGUGAGAUAUGAAGGUGUUGGGAGAGGAAAACCGGGUUUUGAGGGAAAAACAAAUUUGUAAGGAAAUAAGCACGACGUGACGGUACCUGAACAGAAAGCCCCGGCUAACUACGUG
RNAcentral lists this ribosomal RNA (497 nucleotides) under uncultured bacterium. RNAcentral describes it as "partial 16S ribosomal RNA". It matches the Rfam family "Bacterial small subunit ribosomal RNA", at positions 28 to 507 of the family's 1533-position model. The record is from RNAcentral.